UUCGCCUUCAUGAAGCUGGAAUUGCUAGUAAUGGCAGGUCAGCAUACUGCCGUGAAUACGUUCCCGGGCCUUGUACACACCGCCCGUCACACCAUGAGAGUUGGGAAUACCCGAAGCCUGUGAGCCAACUUUUAAAGAGGCAACAGUCGAAGGUAGAAUCAAUGAUUGGGGUGAAGUCGUAACAAGGUACC
Molecule: ribosomal RNA, 191 nt
Filed under: uncultured bacterium
Lineage: Bacteria
Description: partial 16S ribosomal RNA
Rfam family: Bacterial small subunit ribosomal RNA
Source: RNAcentral